AGACGGUCGGAUGAUCGCUGUUCAGCUUUCGGGCCGAAUAGAGGAAAGUCCGGGCUCCACGGAAACACGGUGCCGGGUAACGCCCGGCGGGGGCGACCCCAGGGAAAGUGCCACAGAAAGCAAACCGCCUAUUUAUAUAGGUAAGGGUGAAAGGGUGCGGUAAGAGCGCACCGCGUCAAUGGUAACAUUGAUGGCAAGGUAAACCCCACCGGGAGCAAGACCAAAUAGGGAUGACGCGUUCAUUAAAUUUAUUUGGUGAACAGGCGUGUUUUCGCGCCGUUAUCCGGGUCGGUCGCAGGAGGCGUUCGGCAACGAGCGUCCCAGAUGAAUGGUCAUCACCUCUUUUUCGAAAGAGCGUACAGAACCCGGCUUACAGACCGUCUGG
This 385-nucleotide RNase P RNA is filed under the name marine eukaryotic metagenome. RNAcentral describes it as "Bacterial RNase P class A". It matches the Rfam family "Bacterial RNase P class A". Rfam says of the family: Ribonuclease P (RNase P) is a ubiquitous endoribonuclease, found in archaea, bacteria and eukarya as well as chloroplasts and mitochondria. The record is from RNAcentral.